CAUCUCAAAAAUAAUCGUAACUCAUGAGUAAAAAACCUUUCUGUUCCCCAGCAUGGAACCAUUUACGCGAUGCUUCGCAGGGUCUCGCUUCUUUUCCAUUGCCUUAUCUACCUUGCUUAAGUGCACUUAAUAGCUGAGCAGUACGAUCUGUGGACUUUGCUUUGGCUGUCAAUUGCUAGGUUUUAUUCUUAAAAUGUUUGAUUUUGAUUUCCUUCAUCUCUGUUUGAUUUGAUUCUUCUUUGCACAACCAAGUUCCACAGCGAAUGGAAGUUAUCGGCUUUCUUCCGGUUGACCGGACCCAAAGUCGAAACGAAAUAAAUUGAAUACAGACAUCGGCUCUUCAGACUAUAUCUUUUUGCGACGGCAUGGGAUAGUUUUUUGGUAUAUCGAUUUUGCUUACAGGUUUCAUCGGAGGUAGGAGGUCAGAUAUAUACACAUUCAUUCAAGUUAAAGAGUAUAAGUGCUUAAAACAAAAACCUUUCUUCAGUUGGUUCGUAUUUUUUUACUUAUAUUUCAGACAAUUCUAUGAAGAUGCUUAUUUUUGUAUCAUUUAUCAGUUCCCUACAUCUUAUAUAUGUUUUCCACCAUCUGGAGCUAGAAUUUUUAUUCUAUUGGUUUUAGCAUGCAAGGUGUUUGUUGAUAUGCCUCAAAGGGAUGAUAAUCGUACUUCAAAUCUUUUUAUUUUAUCGUUUACCCUUUUCAACGAUCUUUUGGUAGGCUGUUGCAGAUAUUGGCUUACAUCAACUUCUAGCUUUUGGUAUUGGAGAAAUUUCCUUAAACUUUGUUGUGAAACAAGUAUCCCUGCUACACUUAUUAUCCUUUUCUAUUGUAAUAAGUUCUUUUUGUUUGUUAGUAUGUGGAUAUCUGCUCCAUUAAUGCACCUAAUGUGUGAUUAACUUUAAUAAGAUCUCAAAAUUGAGAAACAAA
Molecule: long non-coding RNA, 927 nt
Organism: Lactuca sativa (garden lettuce)
Lineage: Eukaryota; Viridiplantae; Streptophyta; Magnoliopsida; Asterales; Asteraceae
Source: RefSeq, a predicted model, not a curated record